Molecule: ribosomal RNA, 388 nt
Filed under: uncultured bacterium
Lineage: Bacteria
Description: partial 16S ribosomal RNA
Rfam family: Bacterial small subunit ribosomal RNA
Source: RNAcentral
AUACGUAGGUGGCAAGCGUUAUCCGGAAUUAUUGGGCGUAAAGAGUGAGCAGGCGGUUAAUUAAGUCUGAGGGUAAAGCGUGGGGCUCAACCCCAUAAAGCCUUGGAAACUGAUUGACUAGGGUACGGGAGAAGUGAAGGGAACUCCAUGUGUAGCGGUGAAAUGCGUAGAUAUAUGGAAGAACACCAGAGGCGAAGGCGCUUCACUAGCCCGAAACUGACGCUCAGUCACGAAAGCGUGGGUAGCAAAUAGGAUUAGAUACCCUAGUAGUCCACGCUGUAAACGAUGACAACUAAAUAUUGCCGCGAGGCAGUGUUGAAGCUAACGCAUUAAGUUGUCCGCCUGGGGAGUACGGUCGCAAGACUGAAACUCAAAGGAAUUGACGGGG